RNAcentral lists this ribosomal RNA (293 nucleotides) under uncultured eukaryote. RNAcentral's name for it is "partial 18S ribosomal RNA". It matches the Rfam family "Eukaryotic small subunit ribosomal RNA", at positions 6 to 278 of the family's 1831-position model. The record is from RNAcentral.
GGUUGAUCCUGCCAGUAGUCAUAUGCUUGUCUCAAAGACUAAGCCAUGCAUGUCUAAGUAUAAACGUUUUGUACAGUAAGACUGCGGAUGGCUCAUUAAAUCAGUUAUAGUUUAUUUGAUGAUCUUCUUUACUACUUGGAUAACCGUAGUAAUUCUAGAGCUAAUACAUGCGAAAAGUCCUGACUGCGGAUUCGUUCUGCUGGAAAGGAUGUAUUUAUUAGAUCAAAAACCAAUACGGGUUUUCGGACUCGUUCUUUAUGGUGAUUCAUAAUAACUAAGCGAAUCGCACAGAA